RNAcentral lists this ribosomal RNA (484 nucleotides) under uncultured bacterium. RNAcentral describes it as "partial 16S ribosomal RNA". It matches the Rfam family "Bacterial small subunit ribosomal RNA", at positions 29 to 507 of the family's 1533-position model. The record is from RNAcentral.
AGUGAACGCUGGCGGCAGGCCUAACACAUGCAAGUCGAGCGGAUGAAGGGAGCUUGCUCCUGGAUUCAGCUGCGGACGGGUGGGUAAUGCCUAGGAAUCUCCCUGUUAGUUGGUGAUAACGUCCGGACACGGGCGCUCAUACGGCAUACCUCCUGACGGAGUAAGUGUGGGAUCUGCGGACCUUACGCUAUCAGGUGAUCCUAGGUCGGAUUAGCUAGUUGGUGGGGUAAAGGCCUACCAAGGCGACGAUCCGUAACUGGUCUGAGAGGAUGAUCAGUCACACUGGAACUGAGACACGGUCCAGACUCCUACGGGAGGCAGCAGUGGGGAAUAUUGGACAAUGGGCGAAAGCCUGAUCCAGCCAUGCCGCGUGUGUGAAGAAGGUCUUCGGAUUGUAAAGCACUUUAAGUUGGGAGGAAGAGCAGUAAGUUAAUACCUUGCUGUUUUGACGUUACCAAAAGAAUAAGCACCGGCUAACUUCGUG